AUUGAACGCUGGCGGCAGGCUUAACACAUGCAAGUCGAGCGGUUAAGGUAGCUUGCUACCGAUACAGCGGCGGACGGGUGAGUAAUACAUGGGAAUCUGCCUGGUAGUGGGGGGCAACGUUUCGAAAGGAACGCUAAUACCGCAUACGCCCUACGGGGGAAAGGGGGGGAUCUUCGGACCUCUCGCUAUCAGAUGAGCCCAUGUCAGAUUAGCUUGUUGGUGAGGUAAAGGCUCACCAAGGCGACGAUCUGUAACUGGUCUGAGAGGAUGAUCAGUCACACUGGAACUGAGACACGGUCCAGACUCCUACGGGAGGCAGCAGUGGGGAAUAUUGGACAAUGGGCGCAAGCCUGAUCCAGCCAUGCCGCGUGUGUGAAGAAGGCCUUAGGGUUGUAAAGCACUUUCAGUGGGGAGAAAGGCCUUUUACUUAAUACGUAAGAGGAUUGAUGUUACCCACAGAAGAAGCACCGGCUAACUCCGUGCCAGCCGCCGCAGUAA
RNAcentral lists this ribosomal RNA (498 nucleotides) under uncultured bacterium. RNAcentral describes it as "partial 16S ribosomal RNA". It matches the Rfam family "Bacterial small subunit ribosomal RNA", at positions 30 to 523 of the family's 1533-position model. The record is from RNAcentral.